RNAcentral lists this long non-coding RNA (838 nucleotides) under Mytilus galloprovincialis (Mediterranean mussel). The record is from RNAcentral. Lineage: Eukaryota; Metazoa; Mollusca; Bivalvia; Mytilida; Mytilidae.
AUACAUUUUUAUGAUGUGAAAAUUGUCACAAGUUCCUAAGGCUUUUUAUCCAUUGACAUUGUCAAUUGCUUCCUAAUAGAAUUUUAAUGGGUGUUCAAUAAUUCACAAUGUAUGUAAAGGUAUUAAACUUCAGUUUUAUCCUGUUGCGGAUAAUAUAUAUUGCACUUAUUGACAUUUUAAUUCAAAGAAAAAUUGAACUGAAAAUGAUUCAUCUGGGUAAAUAUCAUGUUUAUUUACUUUUGGGGACUUUUUAGUAAAUGAAGACCAAUUUAUCCACAUGAUCCAGCUUUCUUUCAAAGUUAGAAGAAAAAAAAUACCAUUUUGGUCAGACACGUAUCACUAAAUAGUAAAAAUGAAAAAGAAAAAAUGAAAUGAAAUGAAAAUAUUGAAAAAAUAAAAUUAAUUUGGCCAUGAUGUCGAUCCAUCUUACUUGAGCAAAAUGAUUAUCACAUGUUCACAAUAUUCACUUAUUUUUUUUCUCAAGACACCGACAUUUGAGGAACUAAAAAAUGAAAUAACACCUUCACUACCAAUGCAAUAUACUGCCAAAAGUUUCAGAUUAACAACAGCGAUUUGGAAAAUCUUGGCUUGCAUACAAAUAGUUUAGAGAUGUCAACCCCUUUUAGUGGCAAAGGUUCUUCUUGAUACUAUUUGUGAAGAUGAAAUCUUAAACUUGCACUCCAAACAAUUCUGAGACACGAGUGUGUCCUUGUGAAAAUGUAUACUUAAGAAAAACUUCCGCUACUAGAUAUACAUGUAUCAUUAGUAUGUUUUUUUUAUACAUGUGCUGGUAGAUAAGAAAAUACUUAACAUGUAAUUUCAAUAGCUAAUUCUGUCC